AGUGAACGCUGGCGGUAGGCCUAACACAUGCAAGUCGAACGGCAGCACAGUAAGAGCUUGCUCUUACGGGUGGCGAGUGGCGGACGGGUGAGGAAUACAUCGGAAUCUACUUUUUCGUGGGGGAUAACGUAGGGAAACUUACGCUAAUACCGCAUACGACCUACGGGUGAAAGCAGGGGAUCUUCGGACCUUGCGCGAUUGAAUGAGCCGAUGUCGGAUUAGCUAGUUGGCGGGGUAAAGGCCCACCAAGGCGACGAUCCGUAGCUGGUCUGAGAGGAUGAUCAGCCACACUGGAACUGAGACACGGUCCAGACUCCUACGGGAGGCAGCAGUGGGGAAUAUUGGAAAAUGGGCGCAAGCCUGAUCCAGCCAUACCGCGUGGGUGAAGAAGGCCUUCGGGUUGUAAAGCCCUUUUGUUGGGAAAGAAAAGCAGCAGGUUAAGACCCCGCUGUUCGGACGGUACCCAAAGAAUAAGCACCGGCGAACUUCGG
This 491-nucleotide ribosomal RNA is filed under the name uncultured bacterium. RNAcentral describes it as "partial 16S ribosomal RNA". It matches the Rfam family "Bacterial small subunit ribosomal RNA", at positions 29 to 506 of the family's 1533-position model. The record is from RNAcentral.